GAUACUGGGCAAGCAUUGAGUUUUCGUUAGAGGGGGGGUAGAAUUUCCAGGGGGUAGCCGUUGAAAAUGCGUAGAGAUCUUGGAGGGAAUACCGGUGGCGAAAGGCGGGCCCCCCUGGACGAAGACUGACGUUCAGGUGCGAAAAGCGUGGGGGAGCAAAACAGGGAUUAGAUACCCUGGUAGUCCACGCCGUAAAACGAUGUCGACUUGGAGGGUUGUGCCCUUGAGGCGUGGCUUCCGGAGCUAACGCGUUAAGUCGACCGCCUGGGGAGUACGGCCGCAAGGUUAAAACUCAAAUGAAUUGACGGGGGCCCGCCCAAGCGGUGGAGGCAUGUGGUUUAAUUCGAUGCAACGCGAAGAACCUUACCUGGUCUUGACAUCCACGGAAGUUUUCAGAGAUGGGAAUGUGCCUUCGGGAACCGUGAGACAGGUGCUGCAUGGCUGUCGUCAGCUCGUGUUGUGAAAUGUUGGGUUAAGUCCCGCAACGAGGGCAACCCUUUUCCUUUGUUGCCAACGGUUCCGCCGGGGACUCAAAGGGGAAUUCCCCGUGAUAAACUGGGGAAGGGGGGGGAUGACGUCAAGUCAUCAUGGCCCGUACGACCAGGGCUACACCCGUGCUUCAAUGGCGCGUACAAAGAGAGAGUGAGCGCCCUCGCGCGAGCAAGCCGUCUUCAUAAAGUGCGUCGUAGUGGGGACCGGAGUCUGCAACUCUUGCUCCAGGAAGUCGGAAUCAAUAGUAAUCGUGGAUCAGAAUGCCUCGCAAAAUACGUUGCCGUAGAGUUCUAUCCUGGCUCAGUAAG
Molecule: ribosomal RNA, 800 nt
Filed under: Escherichia fergusonii
Lineage: Bacteria; Pseudomonadati; Pseudomonadota; Gammaproteobacteria; Enterobacterales; Enterobacteriaceae
Description: bacterial SSU rRNA
Rfam family: Bacterial small subunit ribosomal RNA
Source: RNAcentral